This 69-nucleotide transfer RNA is filed under the name Trichonotus elegans (long-rayed sand-diver). RNAcentral's name for it is "tRNA-Arg". Lineage: Eukaryota; Metazoa; Chordata; Actinopteri; Gobiiformes; Trichonotidae. RNAcentral also lists the same sequence under 1 other name. The record is from RNAcentral.
AGUCAGCUAGUUAAAAUAUAACAUUUGCUUUCGACGCAGAAGUUUGCGGUUAAACCCCCCAGCUGAUAA